RNAcentral lists this ribosomal RNA (991 nucleotides) under Saccharomyces cerevisiae YJM428. Its description in RNAcentral is "NTS2-10". Lineage: Eukaryota; Fungi; Ascomycota; Saccharomycetes; Saccharomycetales; Saccharomycetaceae. The record is from RNAcentral.
GAUAGUUUAACGGAAACGCAGGUGAUAUGAGGGCAGGGUCCAGACAUGUUCAGUAGGUGGGAGUGAGAGGUGUUAUGGGUGGAGGACAAUUUUUAUUAUAUUUCAUCUAAUAGCAAUAGGAUAUGACAGGUGAAAAAGCAAAAGCAAUAGUGCAUUGUGAUGUGGAGAAUAAGGUGCAUACGAUGAAAAAGGUGAUUUGUCAUUUACAAGAGGUAGGUCGAAACAGAACAUGAAAGUUGGUCGGUAGGUGGCAUGCAGAGGUAGUUUCAAGGUGACAGGUUAUGAAGAUAUGGUGCAAAAGACAAAUGGAUGGUGGCAGGCAUAGUAAAAUGAUGGUGUGGAAGACAUAGAUGGUAUUUGUUUUGCAUUUACGGCACCGGAUGCGGGCGAUAAUGACGGGAAGAGAUUUAGUAUGUGGGACAGAAUGUCGGCGGCAGUAUUGAGACCAUGAGAGUAGCAAACGUAAGUCUAAAGGUUGUUUUAUAGUAGUUAGGAUGUAGAAAAUGUAUUCCGAUAGGCCAUUUUACAUUUGGAGGGACGGUUGAAAGUGGACAGAGGAAAAGGUGCGGAAAUGGCUGAUUUUGAUUGUUUAUGUUUUGUGUGAUGAUUUUACAUUUUUGCAUAGUAUUAGGUAGUCAGAUGAAAGAUGAAUAGACAUAGGAGUAAGAAAACAUAGAAUAGUUACCGUUAUUGGUAGGAGUGUGGUGGGGUGGUAUAGUCCGCAUUGGGAUGUUACUUUCCUGUUAUGGCAUGGAUUUCCCUUUAGGGUCUCUGAAGCGUAUUUCCGUCACCGAAAAAGGCAGAAAAAGGGAAACUGAAGGGAGGAUAGUAGUAAAGUUUGAAUGGUGGUAGUGUAAUGUAUGAUAUCCGUUGGUUUUGGUUUCGGUUGUGAAAAGUUUUUUGGUAUGAUAUUUUGCAAGUAGCAUAUAUUUCUUGUGUGAGAAAGGUAUAUUUUGUAUGUUCCCGCGCGUUUCCGUAUUUUCCGCUUCCG